AAGUGUCUUAGCUGGCUAUUAGUUCGUGAGACGUUUAGAAAACGAGCAGUAUAUGUUGGGUUUUAGUUCUGCUUGGUUAUGAAAAUAGUGGACAGCUUUCCAAGUGCUGCAAAGUACAAGGGUAAUUCAAAGUACAAGAGUAUUUCAUAGUACGAGAUGACGCCAAAAAUCCCUCUCUACUGUGGAAAGGAAAAAAAAAAAACUGAUCACCGGCUAGACCCAAACACUCUUAUGAUAUGGCAGCAUACAACGUGUAAAUUACUCUCAUUCUCGCUCGAAAUAACUCUAACCCCUAGCCGAGACAAUAUUGAGCCAUCUGUCGCUUGCCUUAGAUCUCUGUGAUUGUGCUUACCACCUUAAUCAAAGCGCGCGUUAAAAUUAAUGCCAUUCCACGCAAUA
Non-coding RNA from Schizosaccharomyces pombe (fission yeast), 399 nucleotides. The record is from the annotation of a GenBank genome assembly. NCBI's taxonomy places the organism in Eukaryota, Fungi, Ascomycota, Schizosaccharomycetes, Schizosaccharomycetales, Schizosaccharomycetaceae.